Molecule: long non-coding RNA, 213 nt
Filed under: Capsicum annuum
Lineage: Eukaryota; Viridiplantae; Streptophyta; Magnoliopsida; Solanales; Solanaceae
Description: long non-coding RNA (CANN_LNC022007)
Source: RNAcentral
GUUCAUCCAGUGUCAUACCUGUGAGAUCCUUUGCCUUCCUAAUCGCAGUCACUUUAACAUUCCAUUUUGAUUUUGGUAAUACCCUCAGCACCUUCUCAGCUUGUUCAGUGAUGACUUUUCCCAAGAAAGUCAGAUCAUUUGUUAAGUCAAUAAUCCUUGUCAUCAUCUCAUGGAAGGAUUCAUUAUCCUUCAUUUUAAAUACUUCAUACUCGG